Dama dama (fallow deer) is the source of this 513-nucleotide long non-coding RNA. RefSeq lists it as uncharacterized. The record is from RefSeq and is a predicted model, not a curated record. The transcript is spliced from 4 exons. Lineage: Eukaryota; Metazoa; Chordata; Mammalia; Artiodactyla; Cervidae.
ACUAACAUUGUAAAUUAUAUCCUUGUUUAGAAACCAUUACACAUCCUUAAAUAAUUCUUUGGCAGAAAUAUUUCUACUCAUAGAAUUGUUGAGUUGUUCUGCAGGAACAAAGACAUUCCUACCCAGGAGGAGGAUGGUGGUGUAUCCCGGACUGGUUGGAACCAGAAGGUUGAUGGUUAAGGAUUCCUGAAACACCACCCUGUUACCUCACCAGCAACGAAUCAGAAGAAGCAGGAUGAGGAAAAGCAUGGGAUUCGAGGUCAAACAACCCUGGAUUCCAAUUAAGCAUCUUGUAUCUACUGAGCACUUUGAUGAGCACAUGACUUCCCAUUGCUAAAAGAGAGUAUAGUUCGUGUGCUGACCUCAUGACAGAGGAGCUUCUUUCAUCUUCAUUUAACAGUUGAGGAAAUUGGAGCAGGGAGAAGUCAAGUAACCACCUUGCAAGAUAUCCCAACAGAAAGCAGGCGAGCCAAGAUUUGAACCAGAAACCCUGUCUCUGCAACCUGCUGUCAA